Molecule: non-coding RNA, 95 nt
Organism: Mycena latifolia
Lineage: Eukaryota; Fungi; Basidiomycota; Agaricomycetes; Agaricales; Mycenaceae
Source: the annotation of a GenBank genome assembly
GGUCUGAUAGCACAACUGGUUAGUGCACCUGCAUCAAGUCGUACUUUUCUUGGUGAUUUACGCAGAAGAUCCCUGUUCGAUCCGGGGUCGGGCCA